CCUACGGGAGGCAGCAGUGAGGAAUAUUGGUCAAUGGACGGAAGUCUGAACCAGCCAUGCCGCGUGCAUGAAGACGGCUCUCUGAGUUGUAAACUGCUUUUGUACAAGGGUAAACCUGAAUACGUGUAUUCAGCUGAAAAUACUGUACGAAUAAGGAUCGGCUAACUCCGUGCCAGCCGCCGCGGUAAUACGGAGGAUCCAAGCGUUAUCCGGAUUUAUUGGGUUUAAAGGGUGCGUAGACGGAUUGAUAAGUUAGAUGUGAAAUGUUCGAGCUUAACUCGGGAACUGCCUCUAAUACUGUUGAUCUAGAGAGUAGAUGCGGUAGGCGGAAUGUAUGGUGUAGCGGUGAAAUGCGUAGAGAUCAUAAAGAACACCAGUUGCGAAGGCAGCUUACCAAUCUAUAUCUGACGUUGAGGCACGAAAGCGUGGGGAGCAAACAGGAUUAGAUACCCUGGUAGUC
RNAcentral lists this ribosomal RNA (460 nucleotides) under uncultured bacterium. RNAcentral describes it as "partial 16S ribosomal RNA". It matches the Rfam family "Bacterial small subunit ribosomal RNA", at positions 338 to 795 of the family's 1533-position model. The record is from RNAcentral.